GCCUGCGUAGCUCAAUGGUGAGCCCCUAUACUUGGUGGCCACGGAGUUUCUCAAUUUUGAGAGGAGGCGUGGGUUCGACUACCACCGCAGGCA
Mycena maculata is the source of this 93-nucleotide non-coding RNA. The record is from the annotation of a GenBank genome assembly. NCBI's taxonomy places the organism in Eukaryota, Fungi, Basidiomycota, Agaricomycetes, Agaricales, Mycenaceae.